GGAGAUCCAGGGCUCAGUAAUCCCCCCAUCCGCGUCCGCCCUCCCUCCCUCCCCUGCGCCCCUUUCUCUUCCUCCAGUUGCGAAUUUUCGUAUGCUGCCGUUGUUUAUUUGGCUGCGCUGUGGCGUACUGUCAACUGAAAACUGAUUCUGUAUUUUCUACUCCAGUACUUUAUGGAGUAGUAUAUAAGGACGUCUUACUAUAGUAUGGCUGAGGCAGUGACCAGCUUGGUAGGUAGUACAAGCUGAGAAAAUUCAUGAUGCUGGCUGGGAGCAAAAAAUUUAUAGGCUUAGUUGUUGUAUUGGUUCUGUUGUUGUAUGGGGAUAUAUGCAUAGAUAUGUAACAUGUGGGUUCCAAGCAUGCUUCCGAGAAAAAGUAAAAUUAUAUAUCCAAUUUAAACAUUGUACAUCUGCCGUUCUUGUGGAAUGCAAGUUAUUUUAGGUAGUAAGAGUGUGCAGGGUAGGUUAUCAAGUGCACGGCUGCUAGUUUGCUUACUAGCUCUGUUCUAUUGGGAUAUGUAUAUGUAUGUGUGGAUUUUAAGCAUGGUUCCUGUAGAUAUGAUAAGUGCAUAGCAUUGCAACUCAUCUUUGUCUGGUAUUAUAAGGCCAUUUGAUUGAAUGCUUGAAAAGAUGAGUCGCUAAAGUGAAUGUGCUUCUAAGUAUCAUGUAGUUUCAGAAACACAUGCAUCUAUCCAUUUCUUUGUCUGCUCUUGUGAGCUCUUCCCAUUGGGAAACUUGGCUAGCUGCCCAUAUCAGUUGAUGAACUAUACUAUUAUCCACUGCUUUUAAUCAGCUGAUGAUGCAUAUUCAGUUUGGCUGAUUUUGUUACAUACAUACAUACAUGGCUUUGUUUUGGUCUGGCAACUCAACUGUGAUGCCAUUGCUGCUGCUCUGUAGAACUUUUGUAUGUUUACAGCAUGCAUCCUAAUUGUCAAUCUCGAGUCUGCACUUCUGUAUGUUUUUGAUGUCAAACACUUAUGCAUGACUAAUUGUUAAGUUUAUACAAUUUCUUUGGUAGACAAGCUUCGAAACUUAGACUACACACUGUUAAACUGCUAAUGAUUUAGACUACAGAAUUUUUAAUCUUAGACUACUGGUUUAUCUAUGUUUCAUAUGAUGGAUUUGACCUGUACCAUGCAUUACACAUGUGUUGAUACAAUCAUAUAGCUUAUUUGAUCAAACAAUCUGUUCAUGUUAUCUUUACCUGCUGCUCUUAUACCUUACCAAAACAAAAAAUAAUUCUAACUAGGAGUAGUUCUCUUUGUUCAGAUUCUGUAUCUAUUACUGCUGACAUAUUGUCGUGAUUCACUUUUUGUACUGAAUAGCUCUUUCUGAUAUUCACAGGUUUUAGCGAUCAGCCGUAGCUCUUUUAUCAAAGGUGCAUGGUGCAACAGAGGACAAGCGCUUCAUGUCCAACCAAGGAGCAUGGUGCUCGCAAUUGACGAACAGAGGGUGUUCGACAUCGGCUACACAAACCACCACUGAGGUCUAUGAAAUUUGAAGUUCGAAGCUGGAUAGCCCUACUCAGCAAAGAGUGGUCUCUUUUGUUUGACUGUAAUAGACUGUAAAUAUUGUUAUAUUGUAAUAGUAGGCAUAUUUGGGUUGUAAUAGACUAUGUACAUAUUGUAGUAGACUUAGUGUUAGUUGAUGAACUACAUUUGUAUGUAUGUGAUUUGAAAACAUGUGGAAUGGAAA
Aegilops tauschii subsp. strangulata is the source of this 1692-nucleotide long non-coding RNA. RefSeq lists it as uncharacterized. The record is from RefSeq and is a predicted model, not a curated record. NCBI's taxonomy places the organism in Eukaryota, Viridiplantae, Streptophyta, Magnoliopsida, Poales, Poaceae.